This 77-nucleotide transfer RNA is filed under the name Synergistaceae bacterium. RNAcentral's name for it is "tRNA-Arg". It matches the Rfam family "tRNA". From Rfam's summary of the family: Transfer RNA (tRNA) molecules are approximately 80 nucleotides in length. Their secondary structure includes four short double-helical elements and three loops (D, anti-codon, and T loops). Lineage: Bacteria; Thermotogati; Synergistota; Synergistia; Synergistales; Synergistaceae. The record is from RNAcentral.
GUGCCUGUAGCUCAGCUGGAUAGAGUGCCACCCUCCGAAGGUGGAGGUCUGGGGUUCGAAUCCCCGCAGGCACACCA